AGAAAUAAGCUAUUUCCAGUUAGUCGGCAAAAUUAAGCAUUGUUGACAAAAUGUAAAUUGUUUGUUUUGUUUGUUUUUCAUUCAAAUCAAUUACUCAAACUCCACCAUCUUUUUUCUGAGAUUUGAUUUCAUUUUCAUUUUCAAGUUGUGUUUCUAUUUCGGCAUUCAAAUGUUUAUCCUAUCAAGGAGUUGGUUUAGUGUGGAUUUAGCAUGGAAAUACGAUCACAGAUAGACUUCUUUUUUAUUUUGUUUUAAACCUUUUGUUCAAUUUUCACAGAUGAUGCUGGAUGUUUCUUUUUAUCUGUGGACUGUUCAAAUCAAACGAAAUCAUCUGUUAGCAAUGUCAAAAUAAACCCCAAAAGGCAGCCUAAACAUAAUCGUGACUGUUGACAGCUUUUCUCGAAGGGAUACAAAGAGGCCACUAGAAAAUAGGAUAAAAGAUAAUAGGAACAAAUGGACACUGAACUCACUGGAGGAAGUUUUUUUCAUUACUUCAUCAUGACAGUAACACCAGGAAAAUAAAGAAUUUUAAUAAAAUUUGAAGUAACCCGAAAAAGAUAAUUUCCUGUUGAUUGUAUGAACAAGAAAAAAAUCUUGUGAGCUGGUCAAUUUCAAUGGUCUUCAUUGUAAAUUAUUAAAGGCAAUAUGACAGCAUACCUGGUUGUGUACUGGCUGCAGGAGCGGGUGACAAUGAAUUGAGUGCAGGGAAUAAUGUCGACAAUAGUUGAGUUAACGACUCAGGAGCCAAAGAUGGAGAGCCAAGUGCGGACAAAUCUGGUGA
Molecule: non-coding RNA, 781 nt
Organism: Tetranychus urticae (two-spotted spider mite)
Lineage: Eukaryota; Metazoa; Arthropoda; Arachnida; Trombidiformes; Tetranychidae
Source: RefSeq, a predicted model, not a curated record